AGGAUAGGCAGGAAGAGGGAGCACAUUUCAAAUUUCUCUCCUGAGAGUGGCCUUUAUUUGUUCAUUUUCUGACAAAGAGUUAGGAGUGGGAUGAAUCUAAAGGCAGGUGAACUAUGAUACUCGCAGAGACCAGAUACUUCAGAAAAUUGCAACUAUUUUUGGCUAGAGCUCAAUCAUUACAGAAACAGAAUAAAAAUUCUGAAGACUUCUAAGCUGAACUCGUACAUAGCUAGAGUGCCCCCUAGGAGGCCCUUCACACCAUUGAAAGAUCUUCAGUUGGACUGUGUUCACUUCUCCAGAGCUGCUGCCAUUCUAGUCCGAUUAGCCACAAAAUGAAGAGCAGCAUUUAUCCCUGGGAUCACACACCAGAGCCGAGUGGGAAGAGCAGUGUGGCCAGAUGGCAAAGAGACUGGAACAGCAGCAAGGAGUGAACCCUUUCUAAGGAUUGCCUCGGCAUUGUUUCCAACACCCCGUAUUUCAGAA
This is a long non-coding RNA of Parus major (Great Tit), 483 nucleotides long. RefSeq lists it as uncharacterized. The record is from RefSeq and is a predicted model, not a curated record. NCBI's taxonomy places the organism in Eukaryota, Metazoa, Chordata, Aves, Passeriformes, Paridae. The transcript has 4 exons.